AGGAUUAGUUUAAGUGAUGGCAGCAGAAGUGACAGCUCCUCCCAUUCCCCGCUGUCGUGCAGUGAGGCCCCGCCCUUAUUAAAGUCUACUAAUAACCAGAUAGUGGAAGUAAAAAGUCCCACCAAGCAGAGCAAACAAGACAAAAGCAUGGAGUGUGAUAAGGUUUACCUGGAUGAGCUGGUGGAGCUGCAUAAAAGACUAAUGACACUAAGAGAAGGUCACAUACUGCAACAGAUUGUAAACCUGAUUGAAGAGACCGGACACUUCCACAUUACAAACACUACGUUUGACUUUGACCUUUGCUCUUUGGACAGAAGUACAGUAAGGAAGCUGCAGAGCUAUCUCGGGACGUCCUGAGGCACGCAGCAGUUGGGUGCUGGAUCCGAGCCUCUGACUCGUCCUGAAUCAGUUCCAGCUGUAGUUGGCGUGUCUAAACCUCACAGUGGGUCCAGCCUGCUGCUUCGACCCCCCCUGAACAAAGAGUUCACCCUGCUGCAGAAAUCGGGGGUAGAUGUACGAGAUCAGGAUGUCAGCAGGCAACAAUCUGAAAACUUGAUAUGAAGGGUUGGUGGGUGGGAGUGAUUCUGCUGCCAUGUAUGUUGUUGUUUAUCGUGACAAAUGCAUGAUCAACUUUGCCUUACAACUUUGUACGUCUUAUUUAUUAAAUUUAAUUUGCAGGUGUGUGCGUGUGUGUUGGGUGGAAAAAAGUGAAACAGGACUUUGUUGAAGAGCUCUAGAAGGCACAAGUCUGACCAGUAACACUACUCUACUUCGGUCUCCGAUCAGAUAUCUGAUUCAUUCAUUUCCCUGGGAUCAAACAGCGUCCGCACAGAUGCAUCUCUGUUGUUCUGUUUUGUUGUGUGCGACCUCACAGUUUGCAAAGACGUGUGAAAUAUGAAGAAGAAUCCAGCUGGAGGUCUGGAUACAAAGUGACACAUCAGUUGAGAGCGCCGUCGUCUGAAAACUAAAAGUUGAGAAGUUUCUCCAGUUUGUUCUGGAGUUAAAGCUUUAAAAAAAACUUUAUUUGUAAGUGUGUCUUUAUUAAAGCCACCUUUAUGCAAACUCUGAA
Non-coding RNA from Neolamprologus brichardi, 1069 nucleotides. Lineage: Eukaryota; Metazoa; Chordata; Actinopteri; Cichliformes; Cichlidae. The record is from RefSeq and is a predicted model, not a curated record.